GACGAACGCUGGCGGCGUGCUUAACACAUGCAAGUCGAACGGUAAGGCCCUUCGGGGUACACGAGUGGCGAACGGGUGAGUAACACGUGGGUGAUCUGCCCUGCACUUCGGGAUAAGCCUGGGAAACUGGGUCUAAUACCGGAUAGGACCCUGGGAUGCAUGUCCUGGGGUGGGAAGCUUUUGCGGUGUGGGAUGGGCCCGCGGCCUAUCAGCUUGUUGGUGGGGUGAUGGCCUACCAAGGCGACGACGGGUAGCCGGCCUGCGAGGGUGACCGGCCACACUGGGCCUGGGAUACGGCCCAGACGCCUACGGGAGGCAGCAGUGGGGAAUAUUGCACACUGGGCGCAAGCCUGAUGCAGCGACGCCGCGUGAGGGAGGACGGCCUUCGGGUUGUAAACCUCUUUCAGCACCGACGAAGCGCAAGUGACGGUAGGUGCAGAAGAAGGGCCGGACAACUACGUGCCAGCCGCCGCCGUAA
This 478-nucleotide ribosomal RNA is filed under the name uncultured bacterium. RNAcentral describes it as "partial 16S ribosomal RNA". It matches the Rfam family "Bacterial small subunit ribosomal RNA", at positions 28 to 523 of the family's 1533-position model. The record is from RNAcentral.